Molecule: long non-coding RNA, 675 nt
Filed under: Rattus norvegicus (Norway rat)
Lineage: Eukaryota; Metazoa; Chordata; Mammalia; Rodentia; Muridae
Description: long non-coding RNA NONRATT023392
Source: RNAcentral
CUAAAAAGUCUUAAGACCCACCCAGACCAACACGAACGCUGGCAGCAAGGCUGGGUUAUGAGGAGAUGUUUGGCGAUUACUGGGUGAGACGGAGGUCAAUUGUCAUGGACCUUGCAGCCUUCAUAUUAUGGAUGGCAAGCGGAAGCACAGACAUCUUCAGAAGCUCACCCAGCUACUCAUUAAGAGAAAGAUUCUGCUUUAUCUACCACAAAACCCUGGUUUUCUAAAAGAAGGAAAGAAAGAAACAAAGAACAAGACAAGCAAUAACACCUGCGUCUUUGUCGCUGGCCAUGAAGAUGAAAUGAGGUAGUGCCUCUAUGGUGAUCACUCUGACAGGAGACAGGCGCUGCACAUGUCAGAGGCUCUGAUGCUGACCCCACCCCUAUCCCACGAGUCUCAGUCUUUUUUAGUAGACUGAGCAAUGGCUCUUGCUCUAUGCACUUUUUUGGACCUUGCUGAAGCUACAGACCCCUCCGUAUUCCAAGGAAGGAUAUUGAUUGGAAGGUCACAGAGGGACUGACCCCAGCUAGACUAGGCUCCAUCAGAAGGCCGAUGCUUGCAGUUGAAAGCUCAAGAUCUGGGAGAGGACCGCAUGCCCAGGGUCUGGAGCCCAAAGAAUUGGGGGCUUUGCACAUAUAGCACAUACUUGGAUCACACAUUAAAUGAUACCCACUU